GGAAGCCAGGUGGCUUCUAUUGUUAUAAUUGUUAUUGGUUUUGAUGCAGGGUAGAUUCAAUGUUUUAUACUUAGAAUGUCUCAUUUUCCCCUUCAGUCUUCUCUGUUUUACUCAAUAGGUAAUUUGCACCCAUUUUAUCUCUCAUUCUUUCACUGGAAAUUUUCCAUUCCUAUCUCUUCUCUAAUUUUAAAUGUAAAAUUUAGUUUAUAGCACAUGAAAAUGUAUAUUCAGACCUUCGCUUGGAUAAUUGGAGGCGUUGGCAGUUCUGGCUGAGAUUCUUUUUUUUUUUUUUUGCUACUUUUUUAUUAAAAUAAUUGAUUUACAGUGAAUAUAUACAUAUAUAUGUAUACAUAUACACACACACACCUUUUUUCAGUCCAUCUUCUAUCAUGAUCUAUCCCAGGAGACUGGACAUAGUUUGCUGUGCUAUAUAGCAGGACUUCAUUGCUUAUCCAUUCUAAGUGUAAUUGUUUGCAUCUACUAACCCCAAACUCCCCAUCCAUCCUUCCUCCCCCUUCCUCUUGGCAACCACAACUCUGUUCUCUGUCUGUGAGUCUGUUUCUGUUUUGUAAGUAGGUUCAUUUGUGCCAUAUUUUGGAUUCCACAUAUGAGUGAUAUCAUAUGGUAUUUGUCUUUCUCUGACUUACUUCACUCAAUAUGAGAAUCUCUAGUUGUAUCCAUGUUGCUGCAAAUGGCAUUAUUUUGUCCUUUUUAUGGCUGAGUAGUAUUCCAUUUAUAUAUGUACCACAUCUUCUUCAUCCCUUCAUCUAUCAAUGGACUUGGUAGGCUAGGACUGAGAAGCUCCUGCCUACUUUAAGAAGGUGAUGUGUUCUUAGUCUACACCUGGCACAGACCCCAUAAGCCUCAGUGGGCCUGAUUCCCAGUGUUACCUUGUGCCCACAGUCCAUGUAGGAUUUUGAGCAUUUUUCUGUUUAUCUUCAAGCACCCUGCUCACAUCUGGCUUCUCACAUCUCCCAGGCCCUACACAGGUCAUUGCAUUUCAGGCACAAUGCCUGUCAGUAUUGUCUUGUUUAAAUGCUCAACAUCAAUGGUAUACCCGGAAUGUAGAAUCCAUACACAUUCAGGAUUUUGACACGCAUCUACAGAGGUAUGCAUAGCCAAUAUGGAAAGUGUCCUCUUUAUGUAUAUAUGUCUAAAAUACAUGAGGAUACUGAGGCCCAUGCCAGAGCUAGUAAGAACUAAAAUUCAGCUAAAACAACUCACAUCUUUUGUCACUUACAUUCAGGCUUUUUCUCUAAGACACCAGGUUUCACAUUUCCAUCCAUUCCUUGUAGAAUUCCAGCCAUCGCUAAGCAGCCGGUUCUUUUCAAUAGUCUCUAACCUCAAUGCCUUUCUCCAGGUUCCCACAUGUUUCUGGUUCCCUUAUUAUGUCUUGUUCACUCGCUUGAGGUAGUCUGGAAUGAAGUAAAUGCAAAUUGUUUUAGUGGUUGAAACAUUUGCGCUCCCCUCCCCCUCCAGAAUCAACAAAAGCUGCUGAGUCUAUGAAUUUAGAAGUAGAAUUUAGACCAGUAAUUAUAGUUAUGGAGUUAAAGAAUUUUCAAUGUUUUUUUAUUUUUUUCUUUUCUUGGACUUAUCAUCUCAGAUUUGCAAUCUGAAUUCUUGGUGCUCCUUUUCCAGUAAUUUCAAGUGAGAAGUUCAAAUCUGUUUACCCAGCAUGCCUAAUGACCAUUAGUAGGGUAAAUAAGGGGAAUCAAUAGACAUAUUAUUGGAGACUGUCUUUUGAAACAUGGUAACAUCACAUGACACGUAUUCCCAGAGGAAUCAAUUGAUUUUUUUUUUUUAAGCACAAGAAAUGUUUUUUUAUCCCCUCCUACCCAGAGAAAAACAUAAGAAUUCAGACAAGAUCAAGUCCAAAAUGAAUAAUGUAGGGAUUUGCCAUUUGUGUGGAAUAGAAACUACUCACCUUUUAAAACAUUAUUUAUGAAUUUGACUUGAGAUGCUCCGCAUAAAUCUUUUUUUCUUUUCUGGUCAAGUGUUUGUGACAUAAAAAAUGAAAUGGCAUUUAUCACCAGUUUGAUACUUCCAGAAGUAUAUUAAGUAGAAAGAACUUGACCUCAUUAAGUAAAAGGACACACCUAAGAAUUCAUGAAGCAGUUCACAGCUCCUCUCUUUGUUUUACCUGCUCUUCUGCUCCACUCUGAGGUUACUCUGUUGGAGGAGAUGACGAAAUUGCCAUUGAACCUCCUCUUCAUCAUUAAGAAGAAUGAGCAAGUGUGCCUGGAGACCCAGGAAGGCCCUUUGUUUAGUUACAGUCUGAGUUCAAAGGUCAGAGACCCAGGAGAGCUGAUGGUCUCCACCCAAAGACUGCCAGGUUCAAGAGGUAGGAAGUGCCACCAUGUCAGUUCAAGCCUGAAGGCAGGAAAAAAAAAAAUCAUAUGUGUCCAUCUGAAGGCCAUCAACAAGGAAGGAAUUCUUUCUCACUGUGGGGAGGGUCAGUGUUUUUGUUCUAGAAAGACCUUCAACUGAUUGGAUGAGGCUCACGCCCAUUAGGGAGGGCAAUCUGCUUUAGUCCAGGUACUGAUUUCAGUGUUCUUCUCAACCAAAACACCCUCCCAGGAACACCUGGAAUAAUAUUUGACUAAAUGUCAGGCCACCCCAUGGUCCAGUCAAGUUGACACAGAAAAUUAACCUUCACACGGGGGAAUCCAUUAAAGAAGGAUAUAUUCCUCAGUUCCAGCAGCUGUUAGAUGAUUUUUUUUUUUACUAGGUGUUAGCUCGUGGUUGUCCUCAGUUCCUGCCACAUGGGCCUCUCCAACAUAACAGCUGGUUUCAGCAAAGGCAGCAAGAGAAAGAUAACCUGCUAGCAAAAUGGAAUUAGCAAUCUUUUGUAGUCAAGUCACAUAAUUAAUAGCCUAGUACCUUUGCCAUAUUCUCUUGGUUGGAAGCAUGUCACUGGGUUCAACCCAUACUGCAAUUGAGGAAAUUACAUAUAUGCAUGAACACCCCGGGGUGGGCACCUUUGGGGGCCAUAGUAGAAGGCUGCCUUUCACACAGUUGAAAGGCACGUUGAAGGUUUGAGCAAGGAAUACAAACAUUAGAACCAUAAAAGGGGACUUGCCUCAAACUUACAAGUCUGGAUUUGAGGGUCCUUUAAAAUAAAUCUUCCUAGUUCUAUGAAUUUGUGCAAAUUAAUUACUAUCAUUUUGCUUAUUUCUUCACUUAUUAAAAUGGAUAUAUGUUAUGUUGUUUCUUGCCUAGUAGUAUUCCCAGCAGUAGAACUUGGUCUUCUUGCCCCCUCCCGAUUCAGGUCAAGUUAUUAAGGUAAAGCUUAUCAAAUCUCCCCUCUCCUAUAGGGCUGGACAUAGGAAUCAGAUUUGGCCAUGCAAAGCCAUGGCGACUAGUUCAGGAUGGAACCCAAGAGCCAUUCUGUGUUCAUGAGAAGCAGGCAUAGGACUUUUUCUGGAAGGACUGGACAAGAGAAAGAGCUUUCUCAGUGAGGUUGAAAGUGAGAGAAUGGGCCAUUCCCCUCGUGGCUCAGUGGAAAUGAAUCUGCCUAGCAUCCAUGAGGAUGCAGGUUCGAUCCCUGGCCUCACUCAGUGGGUUAAGAAUCUGGUGUUGCCAUGAGCUGUGGUGUAGGUCGCAGACAUGGCUUGGAUCUGGCGGUGCUGGGGCUGCGAUGUAUGCCAGUGGCUACAGCUCCAAUUCGACCCCUAGCCUGGGAUCCUCCAUAUGCCAGAGGUGCUGCCCUAAAGAGGCAAAAAAAAAAAAAAGGGGGGGGGGGGAGAAUGUAAGCCUAAGUUUUCCAGCAGCCAUGUAGUUACCUAGUAGGAAAAGUCUGAAUAAGAAUAAAGGCUAAUUCUCAUUUCAGUUGUGAGACAGAAAGAGGUAGAUUCCUAAAGAUACCGAACUGCUGGAUCCAUCCUGGCCUGCAGUUCAACAACCCUAACUCUUAUGUGGACCAAUACAUUUCUACUUAAGUCUGUUUGAGUUGUAUUUCUGGCCAUUGCCUGAUCCAUCCCACACCUAGAGCUGUGUGCUGUUUACAGCUAUCUCUCAACAAAUGUACACUGACUAAUGUAUAAAAGCAAUUUUUGGAAGAUUAGCCUUGACAUCCAAGGGCAGGAAGUUGGAACGUAUUCCCCUCCCCGAGUCUUCCUGAACCCUAAAAUUCUAAGAUUGGCUGCUUCCCAGAACACUUCUUGGAGGCCUCUCUUUGGAAUUUGUGUCUAGAAUAUUUGGAAUGGCUUAGGCGGCUCUCUUAGGUUUGUCCAUCUCUAUCCCCAGGCUCACGGCGGUGUAGGUGGGCCAGUCUUGCAAAACUCCAUCUCUGAGCAGCCUCAGGCACAGGAAGCUGGCCCAUACAAGUUCC
This 4330-nucleotide long non-coding RNA is filed under the name Sus scrofa (pig). RNAcentral describes it as "lncRNA (ENSSSCG00050060770.1)". Lineage: Eukaryota; Metazoa; Chordata; Mammalia; Artiodactyla; Suidae. The record is from RNAcentral.